CUUGGGGUUUCCGCAGUUAGCGAUAACGUUCCUCCCGCCUUGGUUUCUUUUCUCGGCUUCAUUUACCGCUUUUGCAAACAAUUCCUCAUGUUUCCGCUAUCCGGAGACGUGUGUUGCUGUUACCCGUGUUGGAAACCCAGGGGAUAAAAUCACACGCGUUGGGCUUGACACCCAUCUAAUCCCUGCACGCACUUGGGAGGUGGAAGCAGAAGAUUCGGAAGCUCAAGGUCAUCGUCAACUACAAAACAGGCGGGGCAGCUUGUGCUAAAGGAGUUCCUGUCUCAAGAAACCAACCAAAGACACCACAUUGAUCUUUGUGUCUGCACCAUCCACUAAGUAUCUGGGUCAAACAAGACAGGGAGAAAUAGAAACUCAGGAACUUGGAAAGGUUAUGGCCAUUGCACCAACCCAUUACAUCUGGCAACGAGAGCGCUCUGUGCAUCACAGUGGAGCUAUUAGGAACUAUGACAGAGAUGAAGUUCAUCUGCCCUGGGGUCCUAGUGCCACACCAGUAGACUGUUUACUGUGUGGUAAAAAAGGAAGAUAUAUGAGAUUGGGACUGUCUUCAUCGUCAUCUUCAUCCAGUGACACAGUAGAGCUAAUGGAAAAACACUCUCAGGAAUUACACAAUUCAUUAUCAGUGGACAUGAUAGGUGAACCUUCUCAAGCCAAUAGCUAUUCUCAAGGUAUGCUUUAAUGGUAAAAUAAAUUAAACCAAUGCAUGCUAUUUAUGUAGUCACUGAUGCAAACAUUUCA
This is a long non-coding RNA of Microtus oregoni (creeping vole), 756 nucleotides long. RefSeq lists it as uncharacterized. The transcript has 3 exons. The record is from RefSeq and is a predicted model, not a curated record. NCBI's taxonomy places the organism in Eukaryota, Metazoa, Chordata, Mammalia, Rodentia, Cricetidae.